AACGAACGCUGGCGGCAUGCUUAACACAUGCAAGUCGAACGAAGUCUUCGGACUUAGUGGCGCACGGGUGAGUAACGCGUGGGAACCUGCCCUGAAGUGGGGAAUAACCACUGGAAACGGUGGCUAAUACCGCAUACGCCCUGAGGGGCAAAGGCUUCGGCCGCUUCAGGAUGGGCCCACGUCCGAUUAGCUAGUUGGUGGGGUAAUGGCCUACCAAGGCGACGAUCGGUAGCUGGUCUGAGAGGAUGAU
RNAcentral lists this ribosomal RNA (250 nucleotides) under uncultured bacterium. RNAcentral describes it as "partial 16S ribosomal RNA". It matches the Rfam family "Bacterial small subunit ribosomal RNA", at positions 29 to 304 of the family's 1533-position model. The record is from RNAcentral.